Molecule: long non-coding RNA, 601 nt
Filed under: Polistes fuscatus (common paper wasp)
Lineage: Eukaryota; Metazoa; Arthropoda; Insecta; Hymenoptera; Vespidae
Description: uncharacterized LOC122523360
Source: RNAcentral
GGACCUAUUCGCUUAGCAGAAACAGAGAAGAGAGAUAUUCCAGAAAUCAUUUUAAUAGAAGAAGAAUCAGAAAUUCUAGACGGAGAAAAUAUUUACUCUAAUCUACCUUUAAAUGGUUACCAGUAUGAAAAAUCAUCCAACAUUAUUAGUGAACUUUCUACAUCAUGUUCAAAUGGAACGCUUAAAUGGAACAGAGACUGGAAGUUAUUAAUAGAAGGAUUAGUUCAAGUCCAUAUUAUUUUAUUUUUUUUAAUUUAUUUAUUCUUACUCCGCCCCUUUCGGGUUUGGAGGAAAGUCCAUAUUAUAAGCAGUAGGAAUAAAAAUAUGUUGGUGCAAAGUAGGAUACAAAAACUAGUCAUCGAUAUGGAACAAUUAACAGCAAAAAUGAAAGAAAACAAUGCCUUACCGAUGAAGUUUGAAAAAUGGGAAAAUGUAAUUGCUUGCCCUGGAAUUGCAAUGAGUAGAAUCCAAUUUAAAGGAAUAAUAUUUAAAAACAGGAAGAAGAAAAUUGUUUCGGAAGAACUCAGAUUUAUCCAGAUAAUAAAACACAGAUGGAUAUCGACGACGUAUUAAAUGCAACACUAUGAUUAAUUUCAAAAAA